GACAGAGGGUGCAAACGUUGCUCGGAAUUACUGGGCGUAAAGCGCGUGUAGGCGGACUGGUAAGUCGGACGUGAAAUCCCUGGGCUCAACCCAGGAACUGCAUCCGAAACUAUCAGUCUGGAGUGGUGGAGAGGGAAGCAGAAUUCCUGGUGUAGAGGUGAAAUUCGUAGAUAUCAGGAGGAACACCGGUGGCGAAGGCGGCUUCCUGGACACUAACUGACGCUGAGACGCGAAAGCGAGGGGAGCAAACAGG
Molecule: ribosomal RNA, 253 nt
Filed under: uncultured bacterium
Lineage: Bacteria
Description: partial 16S ribosomal RNA
Rfam family: Bacterial small subunit ribosomal RNA
Source: RNAcentral